AUGUACAAAGGGGCUGUCUACCUGAAUGCGCCCAAUGGAUUAACAGCAGGCUUGGACAGGUCCCAGUUAGGUCCUAUAGUACAUGCUAAAUGCAGGUCUGAGUCUAGUGUGGUUCCACUUGAUGAUUCUAGACAUGAUGAAGAGGGAAACACUGAAGAGGCUAGUCACAGAAAACGAAUGCGGAGUUAAGUAUAUUUGAUUGGCUUCUAAGUCUUCUGUAACGUAGAUUGAGUUUAGUCAUGUUAGUAGUAUGCUCUUCAAUUCUUUACGGUAGCGUUUGAGCUUGCAAUACUGUGGCUUUAUGCCAGAAACUUGUACAUGUAUAGUUGGACUUGUACCAUGCAUAUCAUCUUGCAGCAAAAGGUUACAAAUUUGCUGAUUUUGAUGUUCCAGUUGUGCUGAGCUGUCAAAACAUCCAGAGGGGAGAGGGACAUUUAGGAUUUUCUUUCAUUUUGAAAAAGCUUUUCUUUAUGUUAGGCUCUUAAAGAUGCCAGCCCUCCACGCACACACAGAGGCACACGCGCACACACAAAAAAAAAAAAGGAGCUGCAAUAUGGUUUAAGUAGCUCUAUACUAUGAAGAAACCUGGUAGCAUCUGAUGAAAUUUUUACGCUGGAGUUUCUGCGAUCUGUUUUGCUGCUUGUUUGACAUUCUGCAGGGAACUUAAAAAGCUCUAGCUUUCAUUAAGCAGAUUCUGUUUGAGGCUUUACUGCUCAAUUCUCAUCCAAGCGAUGGCUCAGUGGCAGCAAAAGCACAAUGGAGGCUUUUUCCCUUUUGUUUUGAACAUUUCCCUUUCUGUUCUUCAUGAUGUAACCC
Molecule: unclassified non-coding RNA, 816 nt
Filed under: Hevea brasiliensis (rubber tree)
Lineage: Eukaryota; Viridiplantae; Streptophyta; Magnoliopsida; Malpighiales; Euphorbiaceae
Source: RNAcentral